UAGAUCAGCCAGCCGUUGGUCGUGCUGGUUCCAAGCCUGUAGGUGAUGAGGCGGGGGUUAAAAGACCCGCUGAGCUGAGGGGUGACGGCGAGCCCGAAAGGGUGGAAGUGAUUGAGCCCAUGCUAUCAAGAAAAGCCUCUAGGGAGACUUAUUGUAACCGUACCGCAAACCGACACAGGUAGAUGGGUAGAGAAUACCAAGGGGAACGGGAGAAUCUUCGUUAAGGAAUUAGGCAAACUAGAUCCGUAACUUCGGGAAAAGGAUCGCCUGAGUAGAGUGAGAAUAAUUUACUUAUUCGAGCUUGAAAGGGCCGCAGAGAAAUGGCUCUAUCGACUGGUUACCACAACCACAGGUCUGUGCAAAGUCGCAAGACGCAGUAUACAGGCUGACGCCUGCCCAGUGCCGGAAGGUUAAGGGGAGAGGUGCAAGCUUUGAACCGAAGCCCCGGUGAACGGCGGCCGUAACUAUAACGGUCCUAAGGUAGCGAAAUUCCUUGUCGGGUAAGUUCCGACCCGCACGAAAGGCG
Molecule: ribosomal RNA, 526 nt
Filed under: uncultured bacterium
Lineage: Bacteria
Description: bacterial LSU rRNA
Rfam family: Bacterial large subunit ribosomal RNA
Source: RNAcentral